Molecule: ribosomal RNA, 1477 nt
Filed under: uncultured bacterium
Lineage: Bacteria
Description: 16S ribosomal RNA
Rfam family: Bacterial small subunit ribosomal RNA
Source: RNAcentral
GACGAACGCUGGCGGCGUGCUUAACACAUGCAAGUCGAACGGAAAGGCCCUGCUUUUGUGAGGUGCUCGAGUGGCGAACGGGUGAGUAACACGUGAGUAACCUGCCCUUGACUUUGGGAUAACUUCAGGAAACUGGGGCUAAUACCGGAUAGGAGCUCCUGCUGCAUGGUGGGGGUUGGAAAGUUUCGGCGGUUGGGGAUGGACUCGCGGCUUAUCAGCUUGUUGGUGGGGUAGUGGCUUACCAAGGCUUUGACGGGUAGCCGGCCUGAGAGGGUGACCGGCCACAUUGGGACUGAGAUACGGCCCAGACUCCUACGGGAGGCAGCAGUGGGGAAUAUUGCACAAUGGGCGGAAGCCUGAUGCAGCAACGCCGCGUGCGGGAUGACGGCCUUCGGGUUGUAAACCGCUUUCGCCUGUGACGAAGCGUGAGUGACGGUAAUGGGUAAAGAAGCACCGGCUAACUACGUGCCAGCAGCCGCGGUGAUACGUAGGGUGCGAGCGUUGUCCGGAUUUAUUGGGCGUAAAGGGCUCGUAGGUGGUUGAUCGCGUCGGAAGUGUAAUCUUGGGGCUUAACCCUGAGCGUGCUUUCGAUACGGGUUGACUUGAGGAAGGUAGGGGAGAAUGGAAUUCCUGGUGGAGCGGUGGAAUGCGCAGAUAUCAGGAGGAACACCAGUGGCGAAGGCGGUUCUCUGGGCCUUUCCUGACGCUGAGGAGCGAAAGCGUGGGGAGCGAACAGGCUUAGAUACCCUGGUAGUCCACGCUGUAAACGGUGGGUACUAGGUGUGGGGUCCAUUCCACGGGUUCCGUGCCGUGGCUAACGCUUUAAGUACCCCGCCUGGGGAGUACGGCCGCAAGGCUAAAACUCAAAGGAAUUGACGGGGCCCCGCACAAGCGGCGGAGCAUGCGGAUUAAUUCGAUGCAACGCGUAGAACCUUACCUGGGUUUGACAUGGAUCGGGAGUGCUCAGAGAUGGGUGUGCCUCUUUUGGGGUCGGUUCACAGGUGGUGCACGGCUGUCGUCAGCUCGUGUCGUGAGAUGUUGGGUUAAGUCCCGCAACGAGCGCAACCCUUGUUCACUGUUGCCAGCACGUUAUGGUGGGGACUCAGUGGAGACCGCCGGGGUCAACUCGGAGGAAGGUGGGGAUGACGUCAAGUCAUCAUGCCCCUUAUGUCCAGGGCUUCACGCAUGCUACAAUGGCUGGUACAGAGAGUGGCGAGCCUGUGAGGGUGAGCGAAUCUCGGAAAGCCGGUCUCAGUUCGGAUUGGGGUCUGCAACUCGACCUCAUGAAGUCGGAGUCGCUAGUAAUCGCAGAUCAGCAACGCUGCGGUGAAUACGUUCCCGGGGCUUGUACACACCGCCCGUCAAGUCAUGAAAGUUGGUAACACCCGAAGCCGGUGGCCUAACCGUUGUGGGGGAGCCGUCGAAGGUGGGACUGGUGAUUAGGACUAAGUCGUAACAAGGUAGCCGUACCGGAAGG